Molecule: ribosomal RNA, 1008 nt
Filed under: Lactiplantibacillus plantarum
Lineage: Bacteria; Bacillati; Bacillota; Bacilli; Lactobacillales; Lactobacillaceae
Description: bacterial SSU rRNA
Rfam family: Bacterial small subunit ribosomal RNA
Source: RNAcentral
GUUGUUAAAGAAGAACAUAUCUGAGAGUAACUGUUCAGGUAUUGACGGUAUUUAACCAGAAAGCCACGGCUAACUACGUGCCAGCAGCCGCGGUAAUACGUAGGUGGCAAGCGUUGUCCGGAUUUAUUGGGCGUAAAGCGAGCGCAGGCGGUUUUUUAAGUCUGAUGUGAAAGCCUUCGGCUCAACCGAAGAAGUGCAUCGGAAACUGGGAAACUUGAGUGCAGAAGAGGACAGUGGAACUCCAUGUGUAGCGGUGAAAUGCGUAGAUAUAUGGAAGAACACCAGUGGCGAAGGCGGCUGUCUGGUCUGUAACUGACGCUGAGGCUCGAAAGUAUGGGUAGCAAACAGGAUUAGAUACCCUGGUAGUCCAUACCGUAAACGAUGAAUGCUAAGUGUUGGAGGGUUUCCGCCCUUCAGUGCUGCAGCUAACGCAUUAAGCAUUCCGCCUGGGGAGUACGGCCGCAAGGCUGAAACUCAAAGGAAUUGACGGGGGCCCGCACAAGCGGUGGAGCAUGUGGUUUAAUUCGAAGCUACGCGAAGAACCUUACCAGGUCUUGACAUACUAUGCAAAUCUAAGAGAUUAGACGUUCCCUUCGGGGACAUGGAUACAGGUGGUGCAUGGUUGUCGUCAGCUCGUGUCGUGAGAUGUUGGGUUAAGUCCCGCAACGAGCGCAACCCUUAUUAUCAGUUGCCAGCAUUAAGUUGGGCACUCUGGUGAGACUGCCGGUGACAAACCGGAGGAAGGUGGGGAUGACGUCAAAUCAUCAUGCCCCUUAUGACCUGGGCUACACACGUGCUACAAUGGAUGGUACAACGAGUUGCGAACUCGCGAGAGUAAGCUAAUCUCUUAAAGCCAUUCUCAGUUCGGAUUGUAGGCUGCAACUCGCCUACAUGAAGUCGGAAUCGCUAGUAAUCGCGGAUCAGCAUGCCGCGGUGAAUACGUUCCCGGGCCUUGUACACACCGCCCGUCACACCAUGAGAGUUUGUAACACCCAAAGUCGGUGGGGU